RNAcentral lists this ribosomal RNA (1476 nucleotides) under uncultured Chloroflexota bacterium. RNAcentral describes it as "bacterial SSU rRNA". It matches the Rfam family "Bacterial small subunit ribosomal RNA". The record is from RNAcentral. Lineage: Bacteria; Bacillati; Chloroflexota.
GUUUGAUUAUGGCUCAGGAUGAACGUUGGCGGCGUGCCUAACACAUGCAAGUCGAACGGGAACCCGUGAAUAGCUUCGGACCAGAUGCCGAGAGUGGCGAACGGGUGAGUAACAAGUAACUGAUCUGCCCUGUAGAGCGGGAUAACUCCUGGAAACAGCAGCUAAAACCGACUAAGCUCACGGUGAUUAGAAGCGCUGUGAGAAAAGACCGAGGUGCUACAGGAUGAGGUUGCAUCCCAUCAGCUAGUUGGUGAGGUAAGGGCUUACCAAGGCAAUGACGGGUAGGGGAUCUGAGAGGGUGUUCCCCCACACUGGGACUGAGACACGGCCCAGACUCCUACGGGAGGCAGCAGUGAGGAAUAUUGCACAAUGGACGCAAGUCUGAUCGCAGCGACGCCGCGUGGGCGAAGAAGGUUUUCGGAUCGUAAAGCCCUUUUCUUUGUGACGAGAAAGGACGGUAGCAUAGGAAGAAGUGUCGGCUAACUACGUGCCAGCAGCCGCGGUAAAACGUAGGACGCGAACGUUAUCCCGGAGUUACUGGGCGUAAAGCGCGCGCAGGCGGUUGGGUAAGUUACCUAUGAAAGUUCCCGGCUAAACUGGGAGAUGCUAGGUGAUACUGCUCAACUAGAGAGAGACAGAGGGAAGUAGAAUUCCGGGUGUAGUGGUGAAAUGCGUAGAUAUGCGGAGGAAUACCAGUGGCGAAGGCGGCUUCCUGGGUCUCCACUGACGCUGAGGCGCGAAAGCGUGGGUAGCGAACGGGAUUAGAAACCCCGGUAGUCCACGCCGUAAACGAUGUACACUAGGCGUUCGCAGUGCGUUAGUACUGUGAGUGUCGAAGCACAACGCGAUAAAUGUACCGCCUGGGGAGUACGGUCGCAAGGCUAAAACUCAAAGGAAUUUGACGGGGGCCCGCACAAGCAGCGGAGCGUGUGGUUUAAUUCGAGGUUACGCGAAGAACCUUACCUGGGUUUGACAUCAUGGUAGAGGAAGCGAAAGCGGAAGGACCCUUCGGGGAGCCAUAGACAGGUGCUGCAUGGUUGUCGUCAGCUCGUGCCGUGAGGUGUUCGGUUAAGUCCGCAAACGAGCGCAACCCUCGGUGCUAGUUACAAGUGUCUGGCGCGACUGCCCGUGACAAACGGGAGGAAGGUGGGGAUGACGUCAAAUCAGCAUGGCCUUUAUAUCCAGGGCGACACACACGCUACAAUGGUCGUUACAAUGGGUAGCGAAGCCGCGAGGUGAAGCCAAUCCUCAAAGACGGUCUCAGUUCGGAUUGCAGGCUGCAACUCGCCUGCAUGAAGUCGGAGUUGCUAGUAACCGCGAAUCAGCACGUUGCGGUGAAUACGUUCCCGGGCCUUGUACACACCGCCCGUCACGUCAUGGGAGCGGGUCACGCCUGAAGUCGGGAACGUAACCGCAAGGAGCCUAUCGCUGAGGGCAGGAUUGGUGACUGGGACGAAGUCGUAACAAGGUAGCCGU